This 413-nucleotide long non-coding RNA is filed under the name Drosophila guanche. The record is from RNAcentral. Lineage: Eukaryota; Metazoa; Arthropoda; Insecta; Diptera; Drosophilidae.
CCGGCGCCUGCUCUCCUGUGCUCCUCUUUGCAAGUGAUUCUGCCCGCUGGCGAGGUUCUGCCUUGGCCCCCUCAGGCUUGCUUCAGUCUCUCAGUCUCCAUUUGCUGCUGCCGCUCCUUCUUCUACCCAGCUGCGGCCGUUACUCUUCUCGGUGAGGUUCAGUGUAGCAUACAAAAGGGCGCACAUGUGUAGAAAUGUUUUAUGGCCGUGUGUGUAUGUGUGUGUGUGCCUAAGCUUACUUAAGCAUUUUUAGCCCCGCCCCAUCCUUGGCCUUCAGCCUUCGAUGUCAGUCGCAAUCUCAGUGCCAGUCAGCGGCCAAAAUCGCGUCGAUAAAGUUCUGCCUCACUCCCGCACUUAACCCUGUGCCUGCCCCUGGCUGGAUCUUGGAGUGAUUAGCAGCAGUUCUAUCCACU